UACGUAGGGUGCGAGCGUUGUCCGGAAUUACGUGGGCGUAAAGAGCUCGUAGGUGGUUUGUCGCGUUGUCCGUGAAAACCUCACAACUCAAUUGUGGGCGUGCGGGCGAUACGGGCAGACUGGAGUACUGCAGGGGAGACUGGAAUUCCUGGUGUAGCGGUGGAAUGCGCAGAUAUCAGGAGGAACACCGGUGGCGAAGGCGGGCUCUGGGCCAGUACGAUGCGCUGAGGAGCGAAAGCGUGGGGAGCGAACAGGAUUAGAACCUACCGUACGAGUCCAAG
Molecule: ribosomal RNA, 281 nt
Filed under: uncultured bacterium
Lineage: Bacteria
Description: partial 16S ribosomal RNA
Rfam family: Bacterial small subunit ribosomal RNA
Source: RNAcentral